CCCCUUCCCCUGCAUUUUUUCCUAAGUACCCCUUACACACGUGCCUCCAUGCUCCUAUGGUAACAGGGCUGCUGGAGGCUGAAACCUCCAGCCUAGCUGUUCAGCACCAUGCUCUGGACCCUCUGCCCAAACUCUCUCAGCCAGGGUUGGGGUGCAGGGGCUGGAGCUCAGGCCCAGAGCUGCCAAACCACAAACACUCACAUCUGGAAAAAAUUCUCCUCCCAGCCCAACUUCCCUUUGUCUUACUUCUGUCUCUUUGUAGGAGAGAUGCCUACUGAGGAGGAGACUGGACUCUUCUGCCUGGGGGCUCAAGAAGGCUGGAGCGGAGAGGGACAGGAGACCUGGAUCGAAGCUGCAGCCGAAUGAUGGGGGAGGAGCAGUGCCUCAACCCCAAGCCCUAAGCACCCCCCAGGGACCACCCCUUCCCUCCACCGUCUCUGCUUUUGUCUAUCCAUCUUCCCAGAGCCCUUCGACCCGCUGCCCCCUCACUUGCAGAAGACCAGGCCAACCCCUACCCUGCUCCCC
Long non-coding RNA from Bos taurus (domestic cattle), 525 nucleotides. The record is from Ensembl. NCBI's taxonomy places the organism in Eukaryota, Metazoa, Chordata, Mammalia, Artiodactyla, Bovidae.